GAUGAAGAACGCAGCGAAAUGCGAUAAGUAGUGUGAAUUGCAGAAUUCAGUGAAUCAUCGAAUCUUUGAACGCACAUUGCGCCCCUUGGUAUUCCAUGGGGCAUGCCUGUUCGAGCGUCAUUUGUACCCUCAAGCUUUGCUUGGUGUUGGGUGUUUGUCCUCUCCUUUGCGUUUGGACUCGCCUUAAAGCAAUUGGCAGCCAGUGUUUUGGUAUUGAAGCGCAGCACAUUUUGCGAUUCUAGCCGAUAAUACUUGCGUCCAUAAGCCUUUUUUAACUUUUGCCCUCGGAUCAGGUAGGGAUACCCGCUGAACUUAAGCAUAUCAAUAAGCGGAGGA
RNAcentral lists this unclassified non-coding RNA (336 nucleotides) under soil metagenome. RNAcentral's name for it is "partial contains 5.8S ribosomal RNA, internal transcribed spacer 2, and large subunit ribosomal RNA". The stretch from base 1 to 120 matches the Rfam family "5.8S ribosomal RNA", at positions 35 to 154 of the family's 154-position model. The record is from RNAcentral.